This 429-nucleotide ribosomal RNA is filed under the name uncultured archaeon. RNAcentral's name for it is "bacterial SSU rRNA". It matches the Rfam family "Archaeal small subunit ribosomal RNA", at positions 474 to 903 of the family's 1478-position model. The record is from RNAcentral.
UACCAGCUCUCCGAGUGGUAGGGGUGAUUAUUGGGCUUAAAGCGUCCGUAGCCGGCUUGGCAAGUUUCCUGUUAAACUCUGCGACUUAAUCGUUGAAUCGCGGGAAAUACUACUAGGCUAGGAGGCGGGAGAGGUCAACGGUACUUCUGGGGUAGGGGUGAAAUCCUAUAAUCCCGGGAGGACCACCAGUGGCGAAGGCUGUUGACUAGAACGCGCUCGACGGUGAGGGACGAAAGCUGGGGGAGCGAACCGGAUUAGAUACCCGGGUAGUCCCAGCUGUAAACGAUGCGGGCUAGGUGUUGGGAUGGCUACGUGCCAUUUCAGUGCCGCAGGGAAGCCAUUAAGCCCGCCGCCUGGGGAGUACGGCCGCAAGGCUGAAACUUAAAGGAAUUGGCGGGGGAGCACCACAAGGCGUGAAGCUUGCGGUUC